GAUGAAGAACGCAGCGAAAUGCGAUAAGUAAUGCGAAUUGCAGAAUUCAGUGAAUCAUCGAAUCUUUGAACGCACAUUGCGCCCGCCAGUAUUCUGGCGGGCAUGCCUGUCCGAGCGUCAUUUCAACCCUCGAGCCCCUCCGGGGGGUCGGCGUUGGGGAUCGGCCCUCCCUCGCGGGGGCCGCCCCCGAAAUGCAGUGGCGGUCCCGCCGCAGCCUCUCCUGCGCAGUAGUUUGCACAACUCGCACCGGGAGCGCGGCGGGCCCACGCCGUAAAACGACACACCCUUCUGGAAAUGUUGACCUCGGAUCAGGUAGGAAUACCCGCUGAACUUAAGCAUAUCAAUAAGCGGAGGA
This 355-nucleotide unclassified non-coding RNA is filed under the name soil metagenome. RNAcentral's name for it is "partial contains 5.8S ribosomal RNA, internal transcribed spacer 2, and large subunit ribosomal RNA". The stretch from base 1 to 120 matches the Rfam family "5.8S ribosomal RNA", at positions 35 to 154 of the family's 154-position model. The record is from RNAcentral.